RNAcentral lists this ribosomal RNA (567 nucleotides) under uncultured bacterium. RNAcentral describes it as "partial 16S ribosomal RNA". It matches the Rfam family "Bacterial small subunit ribosomal RNA", at positions 355 to 914 of the family's 1533-position model. The record is from RNAcentral.
UGGGGAAUUUUGGACAAUGGGCGAAAGCCUGAUCCAGCAAUGCCGCGUGUGUGAAGAAGGCCUUCGGGUUGUAAAGCACUUUUGUCCGGAAAGAAAUCCUUGGCUCUAAUACAGCCGGGGGAUGACGGUACCGGAAGAAUAAGCACCGGCUAACUACGUGCCAGCAGCCGCGGUAAUACGUAGGGUGCAAGCGUUAAUCGGAAUUACUGGGCGUAAAGCGUGCGCAGGCGGUUUGCUAAGACCGAUGUGAAAUCCCCGGGCUCAACCUGGGAACUGCAUUGGUGACUGGCAGGCUAGAGUAUGGCAGAGGGGGGUAGAAUUCCACGUGUAGCAGUGAAAUGCGUAGAGAUGUAGAGGAAUACCGAUGGCGAAGGCAGCCCCCUGGGCCAAAUACUGACGCUCAUGCACGAAAGCGUGGGGAGCAAACAGGAUUAGAUACCCUGGUAGUCCACGCCCUAAACGAUGUCAACUAGUUGUUGGGGAUUCAUUUCCUUAGUAACGUAGCUAACGCGUGAAGUUGACCGCCUGGGGAGUACGGUCGCAAGAUUAAAACUCAAAUGAAUUGAC